This 289-nucleotide ribosomal RNA is filed under the name uncultured Capnocytophaga sp. RNAcentral's name for it is "partial 16S ribosomal RNA". Lineage: Bacteria; Pseudomonadati; Bacteroidota; Flavobacteriia; Flavobacteriales; Flavobacteriaceae. The record is from RNAcentral.
CUACUGGGGUAUCUAAUCCUGUUCGCUCCCCACGCUUUCGUCCAUCAGCGUCAAUAAAUUGUUAGUAAUAUGCCUUCGCUAUCGGUGUUCUGUGUAAUAUCUAAGCAUUUCACCGCUACACUACACAUUCCAACUACUUCACAAUCAUUCAAGACUGACAGUUUCAAAGGCAGUUGCUUAGUUGAGCUAAGCGCUUUCACCUCUGACUUAUCAGCCCGCCUACGGACCCUUUAAACCCAAUGAUUCCGGAUAACGCUCGCAUCCUCCGUAUUACCGCGGCUGCUGGCAC